Molecule: non-coding RNA, 438 nt
Organism: Peromyscus eremicus (cactus mouse)
Lineage: Eukaryota; Metazoa; Chordata; Mammalia; Rodentia; Cricetidae
Source: the annotation of a RefSeq genome assembly
AUGAAGGCUCCUGUUCAUCUCCUGGGACUUCUGCUGCUCUGGAUCCCAGGUUCCAAAUGUGACAUCCAGAUGACCCAGUCUCCAUCUCAGACUGCAUCACUAGGAGACACAGUCACCAUCAACUGUCAAGCCAGUCAGAGCAUUGGUAUAGCAUUAUCCUGGUAUCAGCAAAAACCAGGGAACUCUCCUAAGCUCCUGAUCUCUGCUGCAUCCAGUUUGUAUCCUGGGGUCCCAUCCAGGUUCAGUGGCAGUGGGUCUGGGAGAGAUUUUACUCUCACCAUCAGCAGUUUGAAGCCAGAAGAUAUUGGAACUUAUUACUGUCAACAUUACAGCAGUUACCCACCCACAUUUGGAAGAGUCACAAAAUUGGAUUCUCCUGUCCUUAAAUCAUCAAAAGAGGAAAAUUCUGUCCAUCUUGUUUUUCACAUUACAGGAUAA